This is a long non-coding RNA of Pteropus alecto (black flying fox), 1751 nucleotides long. RefSeq lists it as uncharacterized. Lineage: Eukaryota; Metazoa; Chordata; Mammalia; Chiroptera; Pteropodidae. The transcript is spliced from 4 exons. The record is from RefSeq and is a predicted model, not a curated record.
UAUUUGUUGUAAGAAUUAUCUUAAGUAGAACCCUAUGAGUUUAGCAACUAAUAUAUGACAUUCUGUAUUUCAACUUUUUAAAAUCCUGUCUCCUCUUUCACAAAAUUGAUCAAGAGUUGUCACUCAUGCCUCGGUCUGGAACCAAUAUUCCCCAAAGCUUCUGGUUUUACUAACGCUAAUUAUAAAUGAGGGCUUGGUGGUUCCGCUGUCCCCCAUGGCAUGGAGACAGAAAAGGCUUCCAAAGGAAAACACAUUUUCUCAGAUUCUUCGUCCUUUUAUCCUUUUCCUUCUCACAGUGUUUUUGCCUGGCAUCUCAAGAGUUAGAAAUUCACAACCUAGUAUAAAAAAGGUAACAUCCGCCGUCAGGUUACCAAGUAAUUCAGAACUGAGUGAAUCAUAGGGUCUCUAGCAGAGCCUGGAAUUACUCAAUGGACUUCACCUCUGACUUCAUCUAAUAGCUGGAAGGAAGUCCAGGAGCAGAAUUAAGAAAAGAAAUUAGGAAAAUUGCCCUCUAAAAGCUCCUGGAAGUCUUCUGGCUCUAGAAGUGGAGGAGACAUCAUUCACCUUGGGAGGCGUCUUCUUUUGUUUUGGGAAAACCACCAGGAUGAACAACUUUAGUUUAAAAAGACAAGUCUCCAGUAUAAAUACAUAUAACCAUUGCAUAUACCAAUGCAUCUAAUCUUCCUAACAUUUAGAAUGUUUUGAAAGAACCAGGAGUUGAAACAAGAAAAAAACAACAACAGCAACAAACCUCACCUACAGUGGAGUUCUUCCCACUAUCAGUGUGUGUGGCCUUUCAUUCAGAAGUCCCGGGACCUGAAACAGUUCUAGCCGUGCAGGCAGUGCUUAAUAAAUUCUGGCCGAAUGAACUGGAUGGAUGCAUCAGCAGGGACCCUCCACCCACACAGUGCCCGGAAGAGGAGAGUCCUCACCCAUCUCUCUGGUUUGGGAGUCAGGAAGAGAGAGGAAUUCAGUAGACUAAUGCAGCCAGAUAUCUAAACUAUUCAAAUCAUGCAUCAUUAAUGCCCUUUUUCUGAUUCCCCAAACCUCGCAGGCGUUCUUGAUUCUUUCCUUUCCUCUAUAUCCAGUCCAGGAUCCUCAUCCGUCGCACCCCACAAAAUGUUUUUGAAUCUUUUUGUCUUCACCAUGGCUCUUACUCCAAGCCCCAUCGUUGCCCAUCGAGACUAUUGCAGUCAUCGACCUUUUAACUGUUCUCACUGCUUCCGCUCUGGCUUCCCAUCCACCCAGCUGCCACGUGAUCGUUUACGAAGUCGCUCCCAUGCCUGAAAUCAUCCAGUUGCUUCAAACUGCAUGCAGGACAGUGCCCUAACUCAUCAUGAUAACCCUGGAAGCCCUAUGAGAACUGACCUCCACUUUCCUUCUCUAUUUUGUCCCCCACCCAUCUGUCCCUCACUUAUUUUCUUAUAUCCACAGAGGCCUUCCCUCUGCUCCCUAAACUUGCCAAACUCUGCCUCAGGACCUUUGUCCCUGCUACUUCCCCAGCCCUGGCUCAAAAGGCUGCCUUUUUCUCGUCAUUCAGAAAGCCUUCCCUAAUACGCCUAGCCCUUGUCACCAAGGACAACCUAUUCCUCAUCUCGUUUUGUUUUCUUUAUAGGACUUAUCUCUGUCUGGCGCUGGUUUUAAUUGUUGUUUACUUGUUUCCGGGCUCCUCUUUCCUAGGAAUGUGUUCCUGCAUGGGCAGGGCAUUGUAAAUAUUGUUGACCGUUGUAGCCUCUUUCCAAAAUCUCUGU